RNAcentral lists this ribosomal RNA (357 nucleotides) under uncultured bacterium. RNAcentral's name for it is "bacterial SSU rRNA". It matches the Rfam family "Bacterial small subunit ribosomal RNA", at positions 71 to 422 of the family's 1533-position model. The record is from RNAcentral.
ACCAUUCCUUCGGGAAUGGGGACAGCGGCGAACGGGUGAGUAACACGUGGGUAAUCUGCCCUCGAUUCUGGGAUAGCCCGGGGAAACCCGGAUUAAUACCGGAUAGCCUCUCGAGCUUACGAGCUCGUGAGAAAAGGUAGCUUCGGCCUCCGAUCGAGGAUGAGCCCGCGGCGGAUUAGCUUGUUGGUGGGGUAAUGGCCUACCAAGGCGACGAUCCGUAGCUGGUCUGAGAGGACGAUCAGCCACACUGGGACUGAGACACGGCCCAGACUCCUACGGGAGGCAGCAGUGGGGAAUCUUGCGCAAUGGGCGAAAGCCCGACGCAGCGACGCCGCGUGGGGGAAGAAGGCCUUCGGG